GGGGAUGCUCUAAAGGACCAUGCA
This 24-nucleotide non-coding RNA is filed under the name Arabidopsis thaliana (thale cress). Lineage: Eukaryota; Viridiplantae; Streptophyta; Magnoliopsida; Brassicales; Brassicaceae. The record is from RNAcentral.